RNAcentral lists this ribosomal RNA (1223 nucleotides) under metagenome. RNAcentral's name for it is "bacterial SSU rRNA". It matches the Rfam family "Bacterial small subunit ribosomal RNA", at positions 285 to 1498 of the family's 1533-position model. The record is from RNAcentral.
AGCUGGUCUGAGAGGAUGAUCAGCCACACUGGAACUGACACACGGUCCAGACUCCUACGGGAGGCAGCAGUGAGGAAUUUUGCGCAAUGGGGGAAACCCUGACGCAGCAACGCCGCGUGAGUGAUGAAGGCUUUCGGGUCGUAAAGCUCUGUCAAGUGGGAAGAAUCUGUACGAUAUUAAUACUAUCGUGCACUGACGGUACCACUGAAGGAAGCACCGGCUAACUCCGUGCCAGCAGCCGCGGUAAUACGGGGGGUGCAAGCGUUAUUCGGAAUUAUUGGGCGUAAAGAGCGCGUAGGCGGUCUUGUAAGUCAGAUGUGAAAUACCGGGGCUCAACCCCGGAAGUGCAUUUGAUACUGCAGGACUUGAGUAUGGGAGAGGGAAGUGGAAUUCCUGGUGUAGAGGUGAAAUUCGUAGAUAUCAGGAGGAACACCGGUGGCGAAGGCGACUUCCUGGACCAAUACUGACGCUGAGGCGCGAAGGCGUGGGGAGCAAACAGGAUUAGAUACCCUGGUAGUCCACGCAGUAAACGUUGAUCACUAGGUGUAGCGGGUAUUGACCCCUGCUGUGCCGCAGUUAACGCAUUAAGUGAUCCGCCUGGGGAGUACGAUCGCAAGGUUAAAACUCAAAGGAAUUGACGGGGGCCCGCACAAGCGGUGGAGCAUGUGGUUUAAUUCGACAACGCGAAGAACCUUACCUGGAUUUGACAUCCCGGGACCGCCCUUGAAAGAGGGAAAUGCCCUUCGGGGAGCCCGGUGACAGGUGCUGCAUGGCUGUCGUCAGCUCGUGUCGUGAGAUGUUGGGUUAAGUCCCGCAACGAGCGCAACCCUUAUUUUUAGUUACCAUCAUUUAGUUGGGGACUCUAAAGAUACUGCCCCGGUUAACGGGGAGGAAGGUGGGGAUGACGUCAAGUCCUCAUGGCCUUUAUGUCCAGGGCUACACACGUGCUACAAUGGACUGUACAAAGGGUCGCAAUCCCGCGAGGGGGAGCUAAUCCCACAAAGCAGUUCUCAGUUCGGAUUGGAGUCUGCAACUCGACUUCAUGAAGUUGGAAUCGCUAGUAAUCGUGGAUCAGCAUGCCACGGUGAAUACGUUCCCGGGCCUUGUACACACCGCCCGUCACACCAUGAGAGUUGGUUGUACCAGAAGUUGUUGGACUAACCCGCAAGGGGGGUAAACACCUAAGGUAUGGCUGAUGAUUGGGGUGAAGUCGUAACAAGGUA